This 716-nucleotide ribosomal RNA is filed under the name uncultured bacterium. RNAcentral's name for it is "bacterial SSU rRNA". It matches the Rfam family "Bacterial small subunit ribosomal RNA", at positions 777 to 1500 of the family's 1533-position model. The record is from RNAcentral.
AUUAGAUACCCGGGUAGUCCACGCAGUAAACGAUGAAUGCUAAUUGUCCGGUGGGAAUGACCUCUGGGUGAUACAGCGAAAGCGUUAAGCAUUCCACCUGGGGAGUACGCCGGCAACGGUGAAACUCAAAGGAAUUGACGGGGGCCCGCACAAGCGGAGGAACAUGUGGUUUAAUUCGAUGAUACGCGAGGAACCUUACCCGGGCUCAAACGCGGCAGGCAUGAUGUCGAAAGAUGUCAGUUCUACGGAACCUGUCGCGAGGUGCUGCAUGGUUGUCGUCAGCUCGUGCCGUGAGGUGUCGGCUUAAGUGCCAUAACGAGCGCAACCCCCAUCGCCAGUUACCAUCAAGUAAAGUUGGGGACUCUGGCGAGACUGCCGGCGCAAGCUGCGAGGAAGGCGGGGAUGACGUCAAAUCAGCACGGCCCUUACGUCCGGGGCGACACGCGUGUUACAAUGGCAGGCACAGAGAGAAGCGACAUGGCGACAUGAAGCGGAACUGUCAAAACCUGUCUCAGUUCGGAUUGGAGUCUGCAACCCGACUCCAUGAAGCUGGAUUCGCUAGUAAUCGCGCAUCAGCCACGGCGCGGUGAAUACGUUCCCGGGCCUUGUACACACCGCCCGUCAAGCCAUGGGAGCCGGGGGUGCCUGAAGUGCGCUGCCGCAAGGAGCGCCCUAGGGUAAAACCGGUGACUGGGGCUAAGUCGUAACAAGGUACC